GACGAACGCUGGCGGCGUGCUUAACACAUGCAAGUCGAACGGAAAGGCCCUGCUUUUGUGGGGUGCUCGAGUGGCGAACGGGUGAGUAACACGUGAGUAACCUGCCCUUGACUUUGGGAUAACUUCAGGAAACUGGGGCUAAUACCGGAUAGGAGCUCCUGCUGCAUGGUGGGGGUUGGAAAGUUUCGGCGGUUGGGGAUGGACUCGCGGCUUAUCAGCUUGUUGGUGGGGUAGUGGCUUACCAAGGCUUUGACGGGUAGCCGGCCUGAGAGGGUGACCGGCGACAUUGGGACUGAGAUACGGCCCAGACUGCUACGGGAGGCAGCAGUGGGGAAUUUUGCACAAUGGGCGGACGCCUGAUGCAGCAACGCCGCGUGCGGGAUGACGGCCUUCGGGUUGUAAGCCGCUUUCGCCGGUGACGAAGCGUGAGUGACGGUAAUGGGUAAAGAAGCACCGGCUGACUACGUG
Molecule: ribosomal RNA, 468 nt
Filed under: uncultured bacterium
Lineage: Bacteria
Description: partial 16S ribosomal RNA
Rfam family: Bacterial small subunit ribosomal RNA
Source: RNAcentral